RNAcentral lists this ribosomal RNA (253 nucleotides) under uncultured bacterium. RNAcentral's name for it is "partial 16S ribosomal RNA". It matches the Rfam family "Bacterial small subunit ribosomal RNA", at positions 524 to 776 of the family's 1533-position model. The record is from RNAcentral.
UACGGAGGGUGCAAGCGUUGUUCGGAUUUAUUGGGCGUAAAGCGCGUGUAGGCGGUUUCUUAAGUCUGAUGUGAAAGCCCUGGGCUCAACCCAGGAAGUGCAUUGGAUACUGGGAAACUUGAAUACGGGAGAGGGUAGUGGAAUUCCUAGUGUAGGAGUGAAAUCCGUAGAUAUUAGGAGGAACACCGGUGGCGAAGGCGGCUACCUGGACCGAUAUUGACGCUGAGACGCGAAAGCGUGGGGAGCAAGCAGG